Molecule: ribosomal RNA, 484 nt
Filed under: uncultured bacterium
Lineage: Bacteria
Description: partial 16S ribosomal RNA
Rfam family: Bacterial small subunit ribosomal RNA
Source: RNAcentral
AUUGAACGCUGGCGGCAGGCCUAACACAUGCAAGUCGAGCGGAUGAAGGGAGCUUGCUCCUGGAUUCAGCGGCGGACGGGUGAGUAAUGCCUAGGAAUCUGCCUGGUAGUGGGGGAUAACGUCCGGAAACGGGCGCUAAUACCGCAUACGUCCUGAGGGAGAAAGUGGGGGAUCUUCGGACCUCACGCUAUCAGAUGAGCCUAGGUCGGAUUAGCUAGUUGGUGAGGUAAAGGCCUACCAAGGCGACGAUCCGUAACUGGUCUGAGAGGAUGAUCAGUCACACUGGAACUGAGACACGGUCCAGACUCCUACGGGAGGCAGCAGUAGGGAAUCUUGGACAAUGGGCGAAAGCCUGAUGCAGCCAUGCCGCGUGUGUGAAGAAGGUCUUCGGAUUGUAAAGCUCUUUAAGUUGGGAGGAAGAGAAGUAAGUUAAUACCUUGCUGUUUUGACGUUACCAACAGAAAAAGCACCGGCUAACUUCGUG